CCUACGGGGGGCUGCAGUGAGGAAUAUUGGUCAAUGGACGAGAGUCUGAACCAGCCAAGUAGCGUGAAGGAUGACUGCCCUAUGGGUUGUAAACUUCUUUUAUAAAGGAAUAAAACGAGGCACGUGUGCCUUUUUGCAUGUACUUUAUGAAUAAGGAUCGGCUAACUCCGUGCCAGCAGCCGCGGUAAUACGGAGGAUCCGAGCGUUAUCCGGAUUUAUUGGGUUUAAAGGGAGCGUAGAUGGGUUGUUAAGUCAGUUGUGAAAGUUUGCGGCUCAACCGUAAAAUUGCAAUUGAUACUGGCAGUCUUGAGUACAGUUGAGGUAGGCGGAAUUCGUGGUGUAGCGGUGAAAGGCUUAGAGAUCACGAAGAACCCCGAUUGCGAAGGCAGCUUACUAAACUGUGACUGACAUUGAUGCUCGAAAGUGUGGGUAUCAAACAGGAUUAGAUACCCUAGUAGUC
Molecule: ribosomal RNA, 460 nt
Filed under: uncultured bacterium
Lineage: Bacteria
Description: partial 16S ribosomal RNA
Rfam family: Bacterial small subunit ribosomal RNA
Source: RNAcentral